GGAGAGGUGGCUGAGCGGUCGAAAGCGGCGGUCUUGAAAACCGUUGGCCCGCAAGGGCCCGUGGGUUCGAAUCCCACCCUCUCCGCCA
RNAcentral lists this transfer RNA (88 nucleotides) under Gammaproteobacteria bacterium. RNAcentral's name for it is "tRNA-Ser". It matches the Rfam family "tRNA". Rfam says of the family: Transfer RNA (tRNA) molecules are approximately 80 nucleotides in length. Lineage: Bacteria; Pseudomonadati; Pseudomonadota; Gammaproteobacteria. The record is from RNAcentral.